UAGGAAUAAAGAAAAAAGUAGCUGCUAACUAACUUUUUAAGCGGUUAAAUUCCGUUUUUUCCUUA
Molecule: transfer RNA, 65 nt
Filed under: Babras sonorivox
Lineage: Eukaryota; Metazoa; Arthropoda; Insecta; Hemiptera; Cicadidae
Description: tRNA-Ser
Source: RNAcentral